AUCUUCGGGGCGGGGUGCGAUUCCCCACCGGCGGUCACAGUCCGCGAGCUCCUUUACAGGGGUUGAUCCGGUGAAAUUCCGGAACCGACGGUACAGUCCGGAUGGUAGAAGAUU
RNAcentral lists this non-coding RNA (114 nucleotides) under bovine gut metagenome. RNAcentral's name for it is "FMN riboswitch (RFN element)". It matches the Rfam family "FMN riboswitch aptamer (RFN element)". From Rfam's summary of the family: The RFN element is a highly conserved domain that is found frequently in the 5'-untranslated regions of prokaryotic mRNAs that encode for flavin mononucleotide (FMN) biosynthesis and transport proteins. The record is from RNAcentral.